AUUGAACGCUGGCGGCAGGCCUAACACAUGCAAGUCGAACGAGUGGCGGACGUGUGAGUAAUGUCUGGGAAACUGCCUGGUGGAGGGGGAUAACUACUGGAAACGGUAGCUAAUACCGCAUACCAUCAGAUGUGCCAAGUUGGGAUUAGCUAGUUGGCGGGGUAACGGCUCACCAAGGCGACGCUCCCUGGCUGGUCUGAGAGGAUGACCGGCCACACUGGAACUGAGACACGGUCCAGACUCCUACGGGAGGCAGCAGUGGGGAAUAUUGCACAAUGGGCGCAAGCCUGAUGCAGCCAUGCCGCGUGUAUGAAGAAGGCCUUCGGGUUGUAAAGUACUUUCAGCGGGGAGGCGUUACCCGCCGAAGAAGCACCGGCUAACUCCGUGCCAGCCGCCGCGGUAAUUC
This 406-nucleotide ribosomal RNA is filed under the name uncultured bacterium. RNAcentral's name for it is "partial 16S ribosomal RNA". It matches the Rfam family "Bacterial small subunit ribosomal RNA", at positions 30 to 526 of the family's 1533-position model. The record is from RNAcentral.